RNAcentral lists this long non-coding RNA (419 nucleotides) under Olea europaea subsp. europaea. Lineage: Eukaryota; Viridiplantae; Streptophyta; Magnoliopsida; Lamiales; Oleaceae. The record is from RNAcentral.
AUGACCUUGAAAUGACUAAAAUAGCAUCAAAAUUAAAGGGUUCACACGUAAUAUUGAGUGCAGUUUAUUCAUUAUCCUACACCUCAUGAGCAAUAUGGAUCAUUUCAAAUGAACUACCACACUAUACAAGAUAAGUGGGACUUCAAGAAGAGACAAAGUCGAAAAAUCAAAAGGCCCAUAAUUCAUUUUUGCAACUAUCAAGUGGCUAGAAAGAGUUCUAAAAAGAAGCACCAAAGAGUAAUAAGAAAGGGUAGCCCAAAAUCUGAAUGAAUCUUCUAAAGAUCAAAACCACCGGAAGGAUGUGAAAUGCCAUUUUUGCCAUAAAGUAGGACUCUAUCAAAAGGAUUGAUUGAAUUGAAAUGCUUGGUUUGAAAAGGAAGGCCAUCAUUGCGCUUAUGAAAAGCAUGAUCAAUUACGAC